Molecule: ribosomal RNA, 269 nt
Filed under: uncultured archaeon
Lineage: Archaea
Description: partial 16S ribosomal RNA
Rfam family: Bacterial small subunit ribosomal RNA
Source: RNAcentral
CGAGGGUGCAAGCGUUAAUCGGAAUUACUGGGCGUAAAGCGAGUGUAGGCGGCUAUUUAAGUCGGAUGUGAAAGCCCCGGGCUCAACCUGGGAAUUGCAUUCGAAACUGAAUAGCUAGAGUUUGGUAGAGGUAAGUGGAAUUCCGGGUGUAGCGGUGAAAUGCGUAGAUAUCCGGAGGAACAUCAGUGGCGAAGGCGGCUUACUGGACCAAAACUGACGCUGAGGCUCGAAAGCGUGGGGAGCAAACAGGAUUAGAUACCCGAGUAGUC